CGCAACCCUCGCUGUGUGUUAUAUGUGUCACACGGGACUGCCGGUCUUAAGCCGGAGGAAGGUGGGGAUGAUGUCAAGUCAGCAUGGCCUUUAUAUCCUGGGCUACACACACGCUACAAUGGCCAACACAAUAGGUUGCUAAGCCGCGAGGUGGCGCCAAUCCAUAAAGUUGGUCUCAGUUCAGAUUGUAGGCUGCAACCCGCCUGCAUGAAGAUGGAGUUGCUAGUAACCGCAGGUCAGCUAUACUGCGGUGAAUACGUUCCCGGGCCUU
RNAcentral lists this ribosomal RNA (271 nucleotides) under uncultured Leptolinea sp. RNAcentral describes it as "partial 16S ribosomal RNA". It matches the Rfam family "Bacterial small subunit ribosomal RNA", at positions 1097 to 1382 of the family's 1533-position model. Lineage: Bacteria; Bacillati; Chloroflexota; Anaerolineae; Anaerolineales; Anaerolineaceae. The record is from RNAcentral.